This 491-nucleotide ribosomal RNA is filed under the name uncultured bacterium. RNAcentral describes it as "bacterial SSU rRNA". It matches the Rfam family "Bacterial small subunit ribosomal RNA", at positions 28 to 528 of the family's 1533-position model. The record is from RNAcentral.
GACGAACGCUGGCGGCGUGCUUAACACAUGCAAGUCGAACGGGGUCCAUGAGAGCUUGCUCUCGGAAGACCUAGUGGCGAACGGGUGAGUAACACGUGAGAAACCUGCCUCGGAGUGGGGAAUAACUCGAGGAAACUCGAGCUAAUACCGCAUACCUUCAUUUGACCGCAUGGUCAGUUGAAGAAAGAUUUAUCGCUCUGAGAGGGUCUCGCGGCCUAUCAGCUUGUUGGUGGGGUAACGGCCUACCAAGGCAACGACGGGUAGCUGGAUUGAGAGAUCGACCAGCCACACUGGAACUGAGACACGGUCCAGACUCCUACGGGAGGCAGCAGUGGGGAAUCUUGCGCAAUGGGCGAAAGCCUGACGCAGCAACGCCGCGUGCGGGAUGAAGGCCUUCGUGGUUGUAACCGCUUUCAGUAGGGACGAAAAUGACGGUACCUGCAGAAGAAGACUCCGGCUAACUACGUGCCAGCAGCCGCGGUAAUAGUACU